This 578-nucleotide ribosomal RNA is filed under the name uncultured bacterium. RNAcentral's name for it is "partial 16S ribosomal RNA". It matches the Rfam family "Bacterial small subunit ribosomal RNA", at positions 355 to 932 of the family's 1533-position model. The record is from RNAcentral.
UGGGGAAUUUUGGACAAUGGGCGAAAGCCUGAUCCAGCAAUGCCGCGUGUGUGAAGAAGGCCUUCGGGUUGUAAAGCACUUUUGUCCGGAAAGAAAUCCUUGGCUCUAAUACAGUCGGGGGAUGACGGUACCGGAAGAAUAAGCACCGGCUAACUACGUGCCAGCAGCCGCGGUAAUACGUAGGGUGCAAGCGUUAAUCGGAAUUACUGGGCGUAAAGCGUGCGCAGGCGGUUUGCUAAGACCGAUGUGAAAUCCCCGGGCUCAACCUGGGAACUGCAUUGGUGACUGGCAGGCUAGAGUAUGGCAGAGGGGGGUAGAAUUCCACGUNUGAGCAGUGAAAUGCGUAGAGAUGUGGAGGAAUACCGAUGGCGAAGGCAGCCCCCUGGGCAAUACUGACGCUCAUGCACGAAAGCGUGGGGAGCAAACAGGAUUAGAUACCCUGGUAGUCCACGCCCUAAACGAUGUCAACUAGUUGUUGGGGAUCAUUUCCUUAGUAACGUAGCUAACGCGUGAAGUUGACCGCCUGGGGAGUACGGUCGCAAGAUUAAAACUCAAAUGAAUUGACGGGGUCAUAGCUG